GUGUGCCAGGAGCCGCGCCGGCCGGGAGUUGGGUGAGCUGGGGGGCGCCCGGGCCGCGCCGCCCGCCCUAGCUGGGCUAGUGCUGCACAUUUCAGCCAGCCCCCUCCCCAAGACCCCAUUCCCAAUCCCCUUCUCAGCUCCCUCGGGCCGGCAGAGCGGCUCUCAUCAGGUCAGCGGCGGACGCCGGGAAGCGGCCCGGCUUGGGAGAGUAAAAUGCUGUUGAAGACCCACGGACGUGACUGCACCCCUCACUAACUGGUCACUGGUUUGGGGAGGAACACCAAUGUCCCAGUGGAACCUUGAGAACACCUUGGAGUCCUCCUCUUCCUCUCUGGACCUCAGCCAAACUGUUUUUCUGGCUUUGCCUGCCCAGCUGCUCCAAGCCAGGCUGGUGAAGGAGGAGUCUCCUGUGGUGAGCUGGAGAUUGGAGCCUGAAGAUGGCACAGCUCUGCAAUUCAUCUGUGGCUGUGGCGGUGACGGUGAUGGAGACUGCAGCUCAACAGGAGCAGUAGGAGGAUACCCAUGGAGGCCAGGAUCAUCACAAGCCUCAGAAAUGCUCCAGUUGGCCAGGUGGGUGGCUCACGCCUGUAAUACUAGCAUUUUGGGAGGCUGAGGCAAGAGGAUGGCUUGAGUCCAGGAGGUGGAGAUCAGCCUAGGCAACAUGAUUCCACCGAGGACCCAAUGGAGAAACACCUCAGGGAGAAGAAAAAGGAGGCCCCAUGGAAACUGAAGGAAGUUUCAGGAGUCAAGGAGAACGGUGUAUGUGGGGCAGUCCCUCCCGUGUGGACGAAGAAUCCAGGUGAUGAGGAAUGUGCCGCUGUGUCGCUGGCUUUCCUGCACACAGGCAGCCGGAGUGGAGCUUCCUGUUGUGACUGAGGACCAGGCUGUGGUGGUGAAGUGGUUGCUCCAGGUAAGGAGAGACGGGCACAUUCUGCAGUCCCUGGGAGCCGCCGCGUUCUCUCUACGUGGGGUGGAGUUGUGUGCAUGGGGCUGGUGUGUGUUGGCCAGAAUCCUAUUUAACUGGAGGGAGCCUCACAGCUACUGGCCAGGGCAGCUGCUUCACACUGGUUGCAGCAGAGAGGGAGAGGAUCCAGUUCCAGUGUAGGAUGAGCUAAGCAAAGGGAGGGGCUGCCCCAGAGGCCAGUUGUUCCUUGCAAAUCUCCCUUGUGACCCAUAAGAUGUCACUUUGCUUGUUUCUCUGAGAUAGGCUUGGACUCAUCAGUGCCAAAGUCUGUGACCUGCCGCCCAUGGGUGGAGGGAUCCUGGCCAUGGCUGGUCACUGUGAGGAUAGGGGUCGUGUCCUCCUUGUUCCUUCUUAUCCCAGAGCUCAGCCCCAGGCAGCCCAUCUUGGGGCCCCAGUGAUGUUCUAGUACACACAGCCGAGUGCUGAGAUAGACCAGAAGUGUGAAAAGGCUUCCUGCUCACCCUCCGCAGUCUGCUGAGCCCCACACAUUUCCAGGUUCCUGUGUGGAUUCUGAUUCAGGGUUAGGGAGAAGUGCCUGGGCUCCCCUCUCUGUCUGCUGUUAUGGUCCUGUCUGCUCCUGGAUCGUGAAAUUAAGGAUUAAAAUAGUAAAUAUUAUGUGUAGCUCACCAUAUUUUAAAGUCCAUUAAAAUAACUGCAGUAGGAGCAUAGGUAUUUCUAGGAAAGUUAGAUGACAUAGUAACAUUUUUACAAAAAAAAGGAUAUUUACCAGGCCUCUUUCUGUGAGGAGACCUUGUCCUGGAGUGAUGUCCUGCAUUUGUGUGCUGCCUGUGUGAACACACUGCCUACUUCACAGUGAUGAGCGUGGCUUAGCCAGAGACCCAAGGCUGUGUCUCCCAGGGCUCUCCUGAUGGUCUCCUCUGCCUCCUUCACCACCAGGGAGGGUGGCCCAGCAGCAGCUCGGUUUGUGCUCUCACCCACCUCCUCCACACAUGCCAGCCCUGUGUGCCCAGCACCCAAGGCUGCCAGAGGUCCUUCAGCAGCUCCCACAGCUGACAGUGACUCUAUGUUUCCUAGCGAUGGUGGCCAGUGAGAUGUUUCCAGAAAUGACCCUAGCUCUUUGCCAGGUCCUGCCUCCGUCCCAGCUGCCACUCUGUGAACUGCCGUUUGACACUGUGCAGAGCCAGGAGACCAGUGAUGAAGACGGGAGGCGACCUUUGCUGCAGUUCUCAAGAAGCUUCACCAGGUUUACCUUGGCCCAUUUCACAAGUGAGGGAACUGAGGCAUCCAUGGUCAAUGAACUCUGGUGCUGAGGGAAAGGACGCAGGAGCUCCCCAGCCUGGGUCCUCUGGUUUGCUCCAGCCCCUUCUCUGGGCCAGUGGUGAGGGUCCAGGGGUGGGGCUGAGGAGGGCUCCCAGACGAGGGAGGUGGCCCCAAGCCUGCCCAUUCACAGGUAAAGCAUCUGCCUCAGGCUCCAGUGCCCUGGGGACAGCCUGGCCCAGAUACAGGAGUGACACGUGGAACUGUGCUCAGAGGCUGAAAUAGGAGCCCCGGGGUCUCAGCUGCUUUCUCAGAACAGGGCUCCUUUCCAAGUCCCAGCUCACCCUGGGAGAAGGAACAGGGGCAGAGUGGAGCACAGCCCAGCCCUCACCUUGACGCUUCUCUCCAUCCUUUUGGAGUGGAGGGGGCUGCGUGUCUAUUGUGACAGCCCCUUCCAGGGGGUGCCGGGAGACCAUUUCCUGGUGCUAGAGCUGUCCCCCCAGCCCCCACCCUGGUUGUGCCCUCUGUCCACCCCACCUCCCGCCUCUCCACAGCUUUUUCCUUGUGAGCGACUUAGGAGAAUCUACGGCAGCACCUGUGGGCAGCCCAGGAGCACUCCUGGGGUAGCCUCAGCUCCUGCCGGUCUGUGCUCACCCUGGGGAGACAGCAGCAGAGACCUCACAAGCUGUCACCUGGCAGGGAGAGGCAGCAGUCAGGGCCCUGUGCGGUGACUUCUUCCACACGCCUGUGUGGUGAGGUGCAGGAGAUUGAGAGCUGGCUACCGGACAAGGAGCAUAACGUGGCCACAAGGGACUACAGCGGUGGGGCUCUCUCCCCCUGACCAUCUGUGCCUGGGCCUGCCAGUGCCAUCUUCUGUGCUCUGUGGGGUGGGGUCUUUGGCCCCUGGGAGGCCGUGGGUCAGUGUGACUCAGAAAGGUCAAGCUCACAGGUCCCCUGGGGUCUCUCACCCAGGCACUGUGCCCCUGGGGGCUGGGAGGGGUGAGAAAGUCCCAGGCCUCCCAGAGCCCACCUGGCUCCCCCACCAGAGUGGCAGCCUGGCCCAGGCUUGGGGCUGAAGGAGGUGAUGCUGUGCCCCCUGAGGCGGGCUCCACCUCCCCCAGGAGACCUUGGAGGACAGGCCCUCUCCUGACCCAGGCUCCAGGACACUUGGCAGUGCCUGAAGUCCUGCCUUUCCUCCCCACUUUGGUCUUACCUCCCUAUGGUGAGGCCCAGGCACAUGGAUGACUCUGAGCAGACUUGGACCUCCAUGGAGCCCUAGCCUCAUAGGUGUAUGAUCUUGGGGGCCUCAGGGACCCCGUUCUCCCCUUCCCCAGAGCCUGGAGGCUGUGAAUCCUGUGGAUCCCUGAGCUGUCCUCUCUGAGACCCCAGGCGAGGAGGGAAUGUGUGAGAGCGGGCAGUGAGGUCUGUGUUCCCGCAGCUCCUCUGUGCUUGGCUUCUGCGUCCUAGAGAGCCGGCGGCAGGGAGAUGGCACAGGCAGGACCUUGAGGGCGGCAGUUCAGGUGGCAGCACAAAGUACAGCGGCCCAGGCACCACCUCAGAAAGGUCACCUGUGCCCCUGGACAGAAAGAGAAAAAGAAACCAUGUUAUUUCCUAGAAUUUAAUGAAUGAGCUGGGAGAUGCUGGGGCAGCACCAGUGGGCAGCCCACAGGUGAUCUCUGCAGGAGACUCGUCUGGCAGGUCACAAACAGGACGCCCCACAGAGCCUUGGAACAUCGUGACUGAGGAAGGGCUCACAUCAUGUUUACUCCCCAGCCUCCCCACCACCUGCAUCUGCAAGGGCUCCUUGGACCCUGGUCAGAAGUUCUUUUGGUGAAUGAUCCUGCAGACAUCACAUGGGCUCAAAGGGCAUCAGAACCCCAGCUGAGAGGAGCCUCAGCAUCAGACGCAGCCGCCCAGCCUGCCUGCUGCAGUAGAGAUCGUACGACUGACAGAAUGGAAGCUUUGUGACACCAAGAGCCCACCCACCAUGGACUGAUUGUGGCCGGUUUACAGAGGCUGUGCACUUGUGUGCCUGUGUGUCCUGAAAAGACCUUUUGAGAUGAUGUGGAAGUGAUGUUGUGUAACUUCCAAAAUUAUGUUGGAAACGCCAUGAGUGUCUGCCUGCUUCACUCGGGACACUCACCAGUGAAGCCCUUGGCCACCAGUUCAAAGCUCUUGAGUGUCCUGAGACU
Cercocebus atys (sooty mangabey) is the source of this 4374-nucleotide RNA transcript. RefSeq lists it as uncharacterized. The transcript is spliced from 15 exons. The record is from RefSeq and is a predicted model, not a curated record. Lineage: Eukaryota; Metazoa; Chordata; Mammalia; Primates; Cercopithecidae.